GGUCUAAUAGUGUAGAGGUUAUCACACGGGAUUUUGAUAUGGUGACUACUCGGUGUAUUUGACUUCCCGUAACCCAGGUUCGAGUCCUGGUUAGACCU
This is a non-coding RNA of Lentinula aff. lateritia, 98 nucleotides long. Lineage: Eukaryota; Fungi; Basidiomycota; Agaricomycetes; Agaricales; Omphalotaceae. The record is from the annotation of a GenBank genome assembly.